CGCGGACUUAGCGUUGCCGCGUCCGAGUCCGGCCAUCAGUGGCUGCAGAUCCGGAGGCCAGGAGCUCAACCACCCUUCUUCGGAACAGGGCCGGCCUGCUGCUGUGCCCUCGACGCUCGGUGCCUGUAUCUACUCCGGGGCCUAGGUCGGCUCCGGGGGCGGCUUAGGAGAAGGCCGCCGGCGAGAUGUUCAAAAACACGUUCCAGAGCGGCUUCCUCUCCAUCCUCUACAGCAUCGGCAGCAAGCCUCUGCAAAUCUGGGACAAAAAGGUACGGAAUGGCCACAUCAAAAGAAUCACUGAUAAUGACAUCCAGUCCCUGGUGCUAGAGAUUGAAGGGACAAAUGUAAGCACCACAUAUAUCACAUGCCCUGCAGACCCCAAGAAGACGCUGGGAAUUAAACUUCCUUUCCUUGUCAUGAUUAUCAAAAACCUGAAGAAGUAUUUUACCUUCGAAGUGCAGGUAAGUAUGUGUACAUGAAUGUGUCCACUCUUGGCUAUACCAAAGUGAUAGCCUUUGAACUGAUGGGAAAAAGUGACCCUACAAAGUAUCUUUAUCCUUUUGCAUGUAUUCUUUUCUGCUUCUAGUAUAAGCCCAGUGCAGUCCUUGUUAUGUAAAUUUGAUAUUAGUAAUAAAAUUUAAUCAGGUUUUUAAAGAAACAGCACCUAGAAAACCUAGUAAUUUCAAAGUGUCAGAGUUAGCGUGGUAUCC
Molecule: long non-coding RNA, 710 nt
Filed under: Homo sapiens (human)
Lineage: Eukaryota; Metazoa; Chordata; Mammalia; Primates; Hominidae
Description: non-protein coding lnc-CSNK2A2-2:2
Source: RNAcentral